GGCCAGCAGCCGCGGUAAUACAGAGGGUGCAAGCGUUGUUCGGAAUUAUUGGGCGUAAAGCGCGUGUAGGCGGCAUUGCAAGUCGGGUGUGAAAGCCCUCAGCUCAACUGAGGAAGUGCGCCCGAAACUGCAGUGCUUGAGUACCGGAGAGGAUGGCGGAAUUCCCCAAGUAGAGGUGAAAUUCGUAGAUAUGGGGAGGAACACCGGUGGCGAAGGCGGCCAUCUGGACGGAUACUGACGCUGAGACGCGAAAGCGUGGGUAGCAAACAGGAUUAGAUACCCUGGUAGUCCACGCUGUAAACGAUGAGAACUAGGUGUCGUGGGAGUUGACCCCCGCGGUGCCGUAGCCAACGCAUUAAGUUCUCCGCCUGGGAAGUACGGUCGCAAGACUAAAACUCAAAGGAAUUGGCGGGGGAU
Molecule: ribosomal RNA, 417 nt
Filed under: uncultured bacterium
Lineage: Bacteria
Description: bacterial SSU rRNA
Rfam family: Bacterial small subunit ribosomal RNA
Source: RNAcentral